AAUAAUUAGCGGGGAAAGAAGACCCUUUUGAGCUUGACUCUAAUCUGGCAGUGUAAGGAGACAUAAGAGGUGUAGAAUAAGUGGGAGAUAUUAGACCUCGGUUUGGUAUCGUCAAUGAAAUACCACUAAUCUUAUUGUUUCCUUACUUACUUGAUUAAAUGGAACGUGUAUAAUUUCCUAGCCAUUAUACGGAUAUAUUUAUUAUAUCUUAUGGUAUUGGGUUUUGAUGCAAGCUUCUUGAUCAAAGUAUCACGAGUUUGUUAUAUUAUAUAUCGCAAACAAAUUCUUUAAUAAAAGGAUGCAUUUAUGUAUUUUUGAUUUGAAAAUUUGGUAUAACUCCAAUUACUCAGGUAUGAUCCAAUUCAAGGACAUUGCCAGGUAGGGAGUUUGACUGGGGCGGUAAAUCUCUCAAAUAAUAACGGAGGUGUCCCAAGGCCAGCUCAGUGCGGACAGAAACCACACAUAGAGCAAACGGGCAAAUGCUGACUUGAUCUCGGUGUUCAGUACACACAGGGACAGCAAAAGCUCGGCCUAUCGAUCCUUUUGGUUUAAAGAGUUUUUAACAAGAGGUGUCAGAAAAGUUACCAUAGGGAUAACUGGCUUGUGGCGGCCAAGCGUUCAUAGCGACGUCGCUUUUUGAUCCUUCGAUGUCGGCUCUUCCUAUCCAUGUGGAGCAAAAUUCACCAAGCGUUGGAUGUUCACCCAGGGAACGUGAGCUAGGUUUAGACCGUCGUGAGACAGAUUAGUUUUACCCUACUAAUGACAAAACCUUGUUGCGACAGUAUUCCUGCGUAGUACGAGAGGAACCGCAGGUACGGACCAAUGGCACAAUACUUGUUCGAGCGAACAGUGGUAUGACGCUACGUCCGUUGGAUUAUGCCUGAACGCCUCUAAGGUCGUAUCCGUGCUGGACUGCAAUGAUAAGUAAGGGGCAAUUUGCAUUGUAUGGCUUCUAAACCAUUUAAAGUUUAUAAUUUACUUUAUAAACGACAAUGGAUGUGAUGCCAAUGUAAUUUGUAACAUAGUAAAUUGAGAGGAUUUUCGAUCACAUGAUGACGCGCUAGUUACAUAUAAAAUCAUUUUUUAAUACAAUGACCAAGCCUAGAAUCAAUUGUAAACGACUUUUGUAACAGGCAAGGUGUUAUAAGUGGUUGAGCAGCUGCCAUACUGCGAUCCACUGAAGCUUAUCCUUUGCUUGAUGAUUC
This 1205-nucleotide non-coding RNA is filed under the name Drosophila melanogaster (fruit fly). Its description in RNAcentral is "Eukaryotic large subunit ribosomal RNA". It matches the Rfam family "Eukaryotic large subunit ribosomal RNA", at positions 2389 to 3399 of the family's 3401-position model. Lineage: Eukaryota; Metazoa; Arthropoda; Insecta; Diptera; Drosophilidae. The record is from Rfam by way of RNAcentral.